UGUGGCUCAGUGGUAGAGCGCUCACCUAGCACAUGUGAGGCCCUGGGUUCAAUCCCCAGCA
RNAcentral lists this transfer RNA (61 nucleotides) under Ictidomys tridecemlineatus (thirteen-lined ground squirrel). Its description in RNAcentral is "Spermophilus tridecemlineatus (thirteen-lined ground squirrel) tRNA". It matches the Rfam family "tRNA", at positions 6 to 65 of the family's 71-position model. From Rfam's summary of the family: Transfer RNA (tRNA) molecules are approximately 80 nucleotides in length. Their secondary structure includes four short double-helical elements and three loops (D, anti-codon, and T loops). Further hydrogen bonds mediate the characteristic L-shaped molecular structure. tRNAs have two regions of fundamental functional importance: the anti-codon, which is responsible for specific mRNA codon recognition, and the 3' end, to which the tRNAs corresponding amino acid is attached (by aminoacyl-tRNA synthetases). tRNAs cope with the degeneracy of the genetic code in two manners: having more than one tRNA (with a specific anti-codon) for a particular amino acid; and 'wobble' base-pairing, i.e. permitting non-standard base-pairing at the 3rd anti-codon position. The record is from Rfam by way of RNAcentral. Lineage: Eukaryota; Metazoa; Chordata; Mammalia; Rodentia; Sciuridae.